UAGGGACACAGAUCAAAUAUAUUUCUUAUCAUGCCACGUCUAUAUUAUCCCCAGCAUAGAUUACUAGUGGAAGUUAUGAGAAGGGAGAAAUUAUCUGUGAGUCUUAAAGACUAUCUAUGUGCUGAUGGUACCCAAAUCCACGUCUCUAUCUCUGCCUUCUCCACUGAGCUCCAGAUCAGUGUUUGGCAAACUACAGCCCAAAGAUGCCUUCACAGGUGUAUCCUGUGGACGCAGGAUAAGGAAAGAAGCUGAGCGCCUUGAUUUAGAAUUCUAGAAGAUUCCAACUGGAUGGAAGCCAGGAUAUCACAUAGCCCGAUCAGCCAACUUCACGUGAAAUAAAACUUUUUAAAUUCUGGUUCUGUUGCUUGCUCCCUGCAUUAAAUCAAAUGGCUUAAUUGAUUUGUGGA
Microcebus murinus (gray mouse lemur) is the source of this 407-nucleotide non-coding RNA. NCBI's taxonomy places the organism in Eukaryota, Metazoa, Chordata, Mammalia, Primates, Cheirogaleidae. The record is from RefSeq and is a predicted model, not a curated record.